UCGGGAAUUUUGGGCAAUGGGCGAAAGCCUGACCCAGCAACGCCGCGUGAGGGAUGAAGUAUUUCGGUAUGUAAACCUCGAAAGAAUGGGAAGAAUAAAUGACGGUACCAUUUAUAAGCUCCGGCUAACUACGUGCCAGCAGCCGCGGUAGUACGUAGGGAGCAAGCGUUGUUCGGAUUUACUGGGCGUAAAGGGCGCGUAGGCGACGCGGUAAGUCACUUGUGCAAUCUCUGAGCUUAACUCAGAACGGCCAAGUGAUACUGCUGUGCUAGAGUGCGGAAGAGGCAACCGGAAUUCUUGGUGUAGCGGUGAAAUGCGUAGAUAUCAAGAGGAACACCUGAGGCGAAGGCGGGUUGCUGGGCCGACACUGACGCUGAUGCGCGAAAGCCAGGGGGGCAAACG
RNAcentral lists this ribosomal RNA (402 nucleotides) under uncultured bacterium. Its description in RNAcentral is "bacterial SSU rRNA". It matches the Rfam family "Bacterial small subunit ribosomal RNA", at positions 355 to 774 of the family's 1533-position model. The record is from RNAcentral.